GACGAACGCUGGCGGCGUGCCUAACACAUGCAAGUCGAACGGAACUGUUUUGAAAGAUUUCUUCGGAAUGAAUUUGAUUUAGUUUAGUGGCGGACGGGUGAGUAACGCGUGAGUAACCUGCCUUCAAGAGGGGAAUAACAUUCUGAAAAGAAUGCUAAUACCGCAUGACAUAUCGGAACCACAUGGUUUUGAUAUCAAAGAUUUUAUCGCUUGAAGAUGGACUCGCGUCCGAUUAGUUAGUUGGUGAGGUAACGGCUCACCAAGACCGCGAUCGGUAGCCGGACUGAGAGGUUGAACGGCCACAUUGGGACUGAGACACGGCCCAGACUCCUACGGGAGGCAGCAGUGGGGGAUAUUGCGCAAUGGGGGCAACCCUGACGCAGCAACGCCGCGUGAAGGAUGAAGGUUUUCGGAUUGUAAACUUCUUUUAUUAAGGACGAAAAAUGACGGUACUUGAUGAAUAAGCUCCGGCUAACUACGUG
RNAcentral lists this ribosomal RNA (482 nucleotides) under uncultured bacterium. RNAcentral's name for it is "partial 16S ribosomal RNA". It matches the Rfam family "Bacterial small subunit ribosomal RNA", at positions 28 to 507 of the family's 1533-position model. The record is from RNAcentral.